Molecule: ribosomal RNA, 1236 nt
Filed under: metagenome
Description: bacterial LSU rRNA
Rfam family: Bacterial large subunit ribosomal RNA
Source: RNAcentral
UGAAUACGAGAUACUACGGUGUCGAAGCAGUCUAUGUCAUACUUCCAAGAAAAGCUUGCACUGUCAUAAACAAAUAAUGCCUGUACCAUAACCGACACAGGUGGGUAGGUAGAGUAUACUAAGGGGCGCGAGAUAACUCUCUCUAAGGAACUCGGCAAAAUGACUCCGUAACUUCGGGAGAAGGAGUGCCUUAUAUUUAUAAGGUUGCAAUAACAAGAUCCAAGCAACUGUUUAUCAAAAACACAGGUCUCCGCUAAGUCGUAAGACGAUGUAUGGGGGCUGACGCCUGCCCAGUGCCAGAAGGUUAAAGAAGUUGGUUAGCUUUUGCGAAGCUGAUAACUGAAGCCCUGGUGAACGGCGGCCGUAACAAUAACGGUCCUAAGGUGGCGAAAUUCCUUGUCGGGUAAGUUCCGACCCGCACGAAAGGCGUAAUGAUUUGGAUACUGUCUCGGAGAGGGACUCGGUGAAAUAGACUUGUCUGUGAAGAUGCGGACUACUUGCACCAGGACAGAAAGACCCUAUGAAGCUUUACUGUAACCUGAAAUUGAAAUUGGACUUUACUUGCGCAGGAUAGGUGGGAGGCUUUGAGAAUAUUCUUGCGGGAAUAUUGGAGCCAUCAGUGAGAUACCACUCUGGUAAUGUUAGAUUUCUAACUUUGUAUCAUUAUCUGGUCAAAGAACAGUUUCAGGCGGGCAGUUUGACUGGGGCGGUCGCCUCCUAAACGGUAACGGAGGCGCACAAAGGUUUCCUCUGAACGGGUAGAAAUCGUAUCUAGAGUGUAAAGGCAUAAGGAAGCUUGACUGUGAGACCUACAAGUCGAGCAGGGACGAAAGUCGGUCUUAGUGAUCUGACGGUGCUGAGUGGAAAGGCCGUCACUCAACGGAUAAAAGUUACUCUAGGAUAACAGGCUGAUCUCCCCCAAGAGUUCACAUCGACGGGGAGGUUUGGCACCUCGAUGUCGGCUCAUCGCAUCCUGGGGCGGUAGUACGUCCCAAGGGUUGGGCUGUUCGCCCAUGAAAGCGGUACGCGAGCUGGGUUCAGAACGUCGUGAGACAGUUCGGUCCAUAUCCGGUGUAAGCGUUAGAAUAUUGAGAGGAGCCUUCUUUAGUACGAGAGGACCGAGAAGGAUGCACCGCUGGUGUACCAGUUAUUGUGCCAACAGUAAGCGCUGGGUAGUUAUGUGUGGAGUGGAUAACCGCUGAAAGCAUCUAAGUGGGAAGCCCACCUCAAGAUAAG